CUAAGCACUUAGGACUUUGCUACCACCUAUCCAAUAUAGAAUAUAGUAUAAUCUACCCGUUUCAUCUGAGAGCUGAUUAUCUUGAAGAAGAAAAAUGGGUUGGGGAAAAAUGUUCUUCACAGUUGUGAUUACGUUUUCAGCAGCAUUAAUCACAUACAAUAUUCUCAUCUCAGCAAAUGCUUCUUUCAAGCAAGAAUUCCCUGGUCCAUCUUCUGCAAAAACAUUAUUUUCUCAAGAUCCAAUUAUCAAGAUGCCAUCAAAUAACAACAUCAUCAACAAGAAGAAGAGGUUGUUUCAUACAGCUGUUACAUCUUCUGAUUCUGUUUAUAACACUUGGCAGUGUAGGAUUAUGUAUUACUGGUUCAAAAAGUUUAAAGAUGAACCUAAUUCUGAGAUGGG
This 399-nucleotide unclassified non-coding RNA is filed under the name Hevea brasiliensis (rubber tree). The record is from RNAcentral. Lineage: Eukaryota; Viridiplantae; Streptophyta; Magnoliopsida; Malpighiales; Euphorbiaceae.